AUACCUUUCUCGGCCUUUUGGCUAAGAUAAGUGUAGUAUCUGUUCUUAUCAGUUUAAUAUUUGAUAUGUGAGUCAAUGACUCAUAUGAUAUUAACUUAAUUUUUAGGGGAAGAGCCUGCAAGGUAGCUUGCUAUCUGGGUUCUUAAGUGUCGCUCAAGUAUUGCACUAUAGUUUGAGCCAGGCACACCCCAC
Ipomoea triloba (trilobed morning glory) is the source of this 192-nucleotide small nuclear RNA. RefSeq annotates it as U2 spliceosomal RNA. The record is from RefSeq and is a predicted model, not a curated record. Lineage: Eukaryota; Viridiplantae; Streptophyta; Magnoliopsida; Solanales; Convolvulaceae. The transcript has a single exon.